Molecule: non-coding RNA, 166 nt
Organism: Notechis scutatus (mainland tiger snake)
Lineage: Eukaryota; Metazoa; Chordata; Lepidosauria; Squamata; Elapidae
Source: RefSeq, a predicted model, not a curated record
GCUAAGCCACAUAUCAGGAGCUCUGGUGGCCUAGAGUUGGAGCUCUCGCCUCACAAUCGGGAGGCUGUGAGUUCGAUCCUAGGUACAGGCUAAUAUUUGGAAUAGGCUCUCCUGCACGAGCAGGGGGUUGGACUAGAUGACUUCCAAGGUCCCUUCCAACUCUGUU